Molecule: ribosomal RNA, 610 nt
Filed under: uncultured bacterium
Lineage: Bacteria
Description: bacterial SSU rRNA
Rfam family: Bacterial small subunit ribosomal RNA
Source: RNAcentral
CCUACGGGAGGCAGCAGUAGGGAAUAUUGGGCAAUGGAGGCAACUCUGACCCAGCCAUGCCGCGUGCAGGAUGAAGGCGUUAUGCGUUGUAAACUGCUUUUAUAUAGGAAGAAAGAGUUCUUGCGAGAACAGUUGACGGUACUAUAUGAAUAAGCACCGGCUAACUCCGUGCCAGCAGCCGCGGUAAUACGGAGGGUGCAAGCGUUGUCCGGAUUUAUUGGGUUUAAAGGGUGCGUAGGCGGUUUAUUAAGUCAGUGGUGAAAGACGGUCGCUCAACGAUUGCAGUGCCAUUGAUACUGGUAGACUUGAGUGAGAUUGAGGUAGCUGGAAUGGAUAGUGUAGCGGUGAAAUGCAUAGAUAUUAUCCAGAACACCAAUUGCGUAGGCAAGUUACUAAGUCUCAACUGACGCUGAGGCACGAAAGUGUGGGUAUCAAACAGGAUUAGAUACCCUGGUAGUCCACACUGUAAACGAUGAUAACUAACUGUUGGUUUUCGAAUCAGUGGUACAGAGAAAUCGUUAAGUUAUCCACCUGGGGAGUACGCCGGCAACGGUGAAACUACGAAAGAUUGACGGNGNGAGAGNGACGACGACGACGACGAGGGAGGAGG